UAGUGGCGAACGGGUGAGUAACACGUGGGCAAUCUGCCCUGCACUCUGGGACAAGCCCUGGAAACGGGGUCUAAUACCGGAUAAUACUGUGCCCCUCAUGGGGGACGGUUAAAAGCUCCGGCGGUGCAGGAUGAGCCCGCGGCCUAUCAGCUUGUUGGUGGGGUAAUGGCCUACCAAGGCCGACGACGGGUAGCCGGCCUGAGAGGGCGACCGGCCACACUGGGACUGAGACACGGCCCAGACUCCUACGGGAGGCAGCAGUGGGGAAUAUUGCACAAUGGGCGAAAGCCUGAUGCAGCGACGCCGCGUGAGGGAUGACGGCCUUCGGGUUGUAAACCUCUUUCAGCAGGGAAGAAGCGAAAGUGACGGUACCUGCAGAAGAAGCGCCGGCUAACUACGUGCCAGCAGCCGGGGUAAUACGUAGGGCGCAAGCGUUGUCCGGAAUUAUUGGGCGUAAAGAGCUCGUAGGCGGUU
This 474-nucleotide ribosomal RNA is filed under the name Streptomyces sp. 313C10. RNAcentral describes it as "bacterial SSU rRNA". It matches the Rfam family "Bacterial small subunit ribosomal RNA", at positions 93 to 580 of the family's 1533-position model. Lineage: Bacteria; Bacillati; Actinomycetota; Actinomycetes; Kitasatosporales; Streptomycetaceae. The record is from RNAcentral.